CAUAAAGCUCUGUUUAGGUUGAAAUUGUUGAAAUAAUUCAAAUUGUUCAUGAAAUUGUUGAAAUUGGUGAAGUUGUUGAAAGUGAAGUUGUUAUAGGUGAGAAGAGUCUUAUUUCAGUGUUGAUAAUUUACCUCGCUCUAGAUUUCGAUAAUCCUAAAAUGUGUUUUGGUUAUGUAGAAUAUGGCGUCACAAAAUGUAGUUUUGUUAUGCCGGUGGGGAGGAGAAAUUCUGUUUGAUGGACCCCGGGUCGAGUAUAGUGGGGGAAAUAUGGAACCACUAACACUAGAACCGAACAUGACUAUGAAUGAUUUGAUAACAUUUGGAACAUUUGAUCGUUAACAUUUUGGUUAAUUGCUAAUGCGUUAACUCUGUUGGGAUUUGUUAAAUUGCAUGUGAACAGAUACGAUGGACGGUGAAGAUCGUACGCCUGGACCCGUUGACCCUUCUGUGCUUACACUACAGGGCACACACCGCAGCGUUGCCGUAUGGGAUCAGACGGUUGAUCCGGCAAAGCAGCUCGUUUGCAGGCAUUACACCACCAGGUUCAUGGUGGGGUGGGGAAUCGAUCCUCGCGUUUUGGCGUACGUCGAGUUUGUCGGUUUAGGUGGUUUUCACCGUAUGGCGUAUAGGGAGAUCGAUCGAGCGCUUGUCACUGCGCUCGCGGAGAGGUGGAGACAGGAGACGCACUCCUUCCACCUACCUGUUGGUGAGACGACCGUUACGUUACGGGACGUGGCGAUUCUUACGCGCCUUCCAGUACAUGGGUCUGCGGUGACAGGACACGCGUUAGUCGAUCCCGUCGGUUUGGUUGGUCGGGUACUUGGUGUCCAGCCAGGUCCCGCCGAUAUUAGGGUACCUCACUUAUUUCUGUACCAAAAAAACUAUUUCACCACGCACUUACAUAUUUCAUACUGAAGCUAGUUUUGUGUCUCUGUGUGCCAGUUCUGGGCUUGGGAGCAUAUCCAUGUAGGCAGACCAGGCAGACCUGCGAUACACCGUCGGGGGGAGCAGGACCAGGACGACCAGUACCAGGCGUACGAUGCUCCCCCGCUCCCUACACCGGAUGAGGCAUAUGGUUGCAGGUGGGUGGUACCCAGGCUGACACAUGCUCAUGCGGCGAGGGGUCUUCCGUAUUACCGAGACGCCCUAGACCGACUCACCGAGGACCAGGUGACAUGGGACCCGUAUGUACCUGACUUGGUAGAUGCCAUGCCUCCACAUCUGCUAGACCAUCAGGCGGAGUGGCGGAUAUGGUGGCGAUGGUUGAUGCGCUAUCAGUCUCCCUUGAGUGCGGACCCACUAGAGCCCAGGUCGAGCAGGUGCGAGAUAUGGGCGUCGCUACCUUACGGAGAUAUGGUCACGCUCAUCUCGCCCACCGGCGGGACGGUCAUGAUGGCAACUCACAGUUCGAUCUCGGCCAGAGCAGCGGUGGAUGUGAUCCUACGUCACCCAGACACGCAGAGGAUUACAACAUCCACAGUACUGCGCCCUCUGGUACCCAGGAGGACCCCUCGUCCAGUCAGCUGACUCCCCCACCGCCCCGAGACCCAUUCACCACCGUCACUCAUUACAGGCGGCGACGUGUCAGACGGAGGGCCGACACUCAGGAGGCAGGACCUUUACCCCGAAUAAAUGAGUCGGGCUAGUAUUAUCUGUUGUAUUCCCUGUUAUUUUGUAUAAUG
Molecule: long non-coding RNA, 1682 nt
Organism: Chenopodium quinoa (quinoa)
Lineage: Eukaryota; Viridiplantae; Streptophyta; Magnoliopsida; Caryophyllales; Amaranthaceae
Exons: 4
Source: RefSeq, a predicted model, not a curated record